UACGGAGGGUGCAAACGUUGCUCGGAAUCAUUGGGCGUAAAGCGCACGUAGGCGGACCGCUAAGUCGGAUGUGAAAGCCCUCGGCUUAACCGAGGAAGUGCAUUCGAAACUGACGGUCUUGAGUAUGGAAGAGGGUCGCGGAAUUCCCGGUGUAGAGGUGAAAUUCGUAGAUAUCGGGAGGAACACCAGUAGCGAAGGCGGCGACCUGGGCCAAUACUGACGCUGAGGUGCGAAAGCGUGGGGAGCAAACAGG
Molecule: ribosomal RNA, 253 nt
Filed under: uncultured bacterium
Lineage: Bacteria
Description: partial 16S ribosomal RNA
Rfam family: Bacterial small subunit ribosomal RNA
Source: RNAcentral